This 24-nucleotide non-coding RNA is filed under the name Mus musculus (house mouse). The record is from RNAcentral. Lineage: Eukaryota; Metazoa; Chordata; Mammalia; Rodentia; Muridae.
UAAAAAAGGUAGAAGGUGAGUUGG